GACGAACGCUGGCGGCGUGCUUAACACAUGCAAGUCGAACGCUGAAGCUUGGUGCUUGCACUGGGUGGAUGAGUGGCGAACGGGUGAGUAAUACGUGAGUAACCUGCCCUUGACUCUGGGAUAAGCCUGGGAAACUGGGUCUAAUACUGGAUACGACAUGUCACCGCAUGGUGGUGUGUGGAAAGGGUUUUACUGGUUUUGGAUGGGCUCACGGCCUAUCAGCUUGUUGGUGGGGUAAUGGCUCACCAAGGCGACGACGGGUAGCCGGCCUGAGAGGGUGACCGGCCACACUGGGACUGAGACACGGCCCAGACUCCUACGGGAGGCAGCAGUGGGGAAUAUUGCACAAUGGGCGGAAGCCUGAUGCAGCGACGCCGCGUGAGGGAUGACGGCCUUCGGGUUGUAAACCUCUUUCAGCACGGAAGAGGCGAAAGUGACGGUACGUGCAGAAGAAGCGCCGGCUAACUACGUG
RNAcentral lists this ribosomal RNA (472 nucleotides) under uncultured bacterium. Its description in RNAcentral is "partial 16S ribosomal RNA". It matches the Rfam family "Bacterial small subunit ribosomal RNA", at positions 28 to 507 of the family's 1533-position model. The record is from RNAcentral.